CCUACGGGUGGCAGCAGUGAGGAAUAUUGGUCAAUGGACGAGAGUCUGAACCAGCCAAGUAGCGUGAAGGAUGACUGCCCUAUGGGUUGUAAACUUCUUUUAUAUGGGAAUAAAAUGUUCCACGUGUGGGAUUUUGUAUGUACCAUAUGAAUAAGGAUCGACUAACUCCGUGCCAGCAGCCGCGGUAAUACGGAGGAUCCGAGCGUUAUCCGGAUUUAUUGGGUUUAAAUGGAGCGUAGGUGGAUUGUUAAGUCAGUUGUGAAAGUUUGCGGCUCAACCGUGAAAUUGCAGUUGAAACUGGCAGUCUUGAGUACAGUAGAGGUAGGCGGAAUUCGUGGUGUAGCGGUGAAAUGCUUAGAUAUCACGAAGAACUCCGAUUGCGAAGGCAGUUCACUGGACUGCAACUGACACUGAGGCUCGAAAGUGUGGGUAUCAAACAGGAUUAGAUACCCGAGUAGUC
This 460-nucleotide ribosomal RNA is filed under the name uncultured bacterium. RNAcentral describes it as "partial 16S ribosomal RNA". It matches the Rfam family "Bacterial small subunit ribosomal RNA", at positions 338 to 795 of the family's 1533-position model. The record is from RNAcentral.